GGAGAGGUGGCAGAGUGGUCGAAUGUACCUGACUCGAAAUCAGGCGUACGUGUAAGCGUACCGAGGGUUCGAAUCCCUCCCUCUCCGCCA
RNAcentral lists this transfer RNA (90 nucleotides) under Pseudoxanthomonas sacheonensis. Its description in RNAcentral is "tRNA-Ser". It matches the Rfam family "tRNA". From Rfam's summary of the family: Transfer RNA (tRNA) molecules are approximately 80 nucleotides in length. Their secondary structure includes four short double-helical elements and three loops (D, anti-codon, and T loops). Lineage: Bacteria; Pseudomonadati; Pseudomonadota; Gammaproteobacteria; Lysobacterales; Lysobacteraceae. RNAcentral also lists the same sequence under 26 other names. The record is from RNAcentral.